GGUUAAGCGAAUAAGCGUACACGGUGGAUGCCUAGGCAAUCAGAGGCGAUGAAGGACGUGCUAAUCUGCGAUAAGCGUCGGUAAGGUGAUAUGAACCGUUAUACCCGACGAUUUCCGAAUGGGGAAACCCAAUAUCCAAUGGAUAUUAUCAUUAACUGAAUACAUAGGUUAAUGAAGCGAACCGGGAGAACUGAAACAUCUCAGUACCCCGAGGAAAAGAAAUCAACCGAGAUUCCCCUAGUAGCGGCGAGCGAACGGGGAACAGCCCAGAGUCUUAAUCAAUAGCAGCAUCAGGAGAACGGUCUGGAAAGUCCGGCAGUAAAGGGUGAUAGCCCCGUAUCCGAAGAUGCUGUUAUUGUGAACUCGACGAGUAGGGCGGGACACGUGUUAUCCUGUCUGAAUAUGGGGGGACCAUCCUCCAAGGCUAAAUACUCCUGAUUGACCGAUAGUGAACCAGUACCGUGAGGGAAAGGCGAAAAGAACCCCGGCGAGGGGAGUGAAAAAGAACCUGAAACCGUGUACGUACAAGCAGUAGGAGCC
RNAcentral lists this ribosomal RNA (540 nucleotides) under Proteus terrae subsp. cibarius. Its description in RNAcentral is "partial 23S ribosomal RNA". It matches the Rfam family "Bacterial large subunit ribosomal RNA", at positions 1 to 581 of the family's 2925-position model. RNAcentral also lists the same sequence under 2 other names. Lineage: Bacteria; Pseudomonadati; Pseudomonadota; Gammaproteobacteria; Enterobacterales; Morganellaceae. The record is from RNAcentral.